UACGAAGGGGGCUAGCGUUGCUCGGAAUCACUGGGCGUAAAGCGCACGUAGGCGGCUUUCUAAGUCGGGGGUGAAAUCCUGGAGCUCAACUCCAGAACUGCCUUCGAAACUGGCGAUCUUGAGUCCGGGAGAGGUGAGUGGAACUGCGAGUGUAGAGGUGAAAUUCGUAGAUAUUCGCAAGAACACCAGUGGCGAAGGCGGCUCACUGGCCCGGUACUGACGCUGAGGUGCGAAAGCGUGGGGAGCAAACAGG
RNAcentral lists this ribosomal RNA (253 nucleotides) under uncultured bacterium. Its description in RNAcentral is "partial 16S ribosomal RNA". It matches the Rfam family "Bacterial small subunit ribosomal RNA", at positions 524 to 776 of the family's 1533-position model. The record is from RNAcentral.